AGCCUAAAGAUUCAUUUUAGGUAGAGCCUGCUCGGUGUGCGUAAGCAUUAACAGCCGCGGUACUUUGACCGUGCUAAGGUAGCGUAAUAAUUUGUCUUUUAAAUGGAGUCAAGUAUGAAUGGCUUUUUGGAGAAGGGCUGUCUCUUAUGGAUUGGUUAGAAAUUACUGUAUAGGUGAAAAAGCCUUUAUUUAAUUAUAGGACGAGAAGACCCUUUGAAUUCUUAUUAAGGAGAAGAAGUAAUGUUUAUCUCUGUAUCUUGAUUGGGGCAAUCAAAAUAACCAUUUUUUUAUUUGAGUGUGAAGACGUGAAAGUUUUUUCGAGAGUGAGUGAAUUACCAUAGGGAUAACAGCAUAAUUCUUUUUAGAGCUUGUGACCUCGAUGUUGGACUAGGAAACCUGUAGGCUAGAAGCCUACAGGGUGGGUUCUGUUCGAACUUUUAUUCCU
Molecule: ribosomal RNA, 445 nt
Filed under: Helminthope psammobionta
Lineage: Eukaryota; Metazoa; Mollusca; Gastropoda; Rhodopidae
Description: partial 16S ribosomal RNA
Rfam family: Bacterial large subunit ribosomal RNA
Source: RNAcentral